UAGUUAAAAUAAAGUUGGGCCCAAUAAACUGGUAGAUCAAAGGCCUGUUGAGCGCUCAUGCCCGGUGUGAUUUUAACAAUUGACUCCAAAUGCGUUGACAAGAAAAUAAGUAAAACUGUUAUUGAAUGUGAUUGGUUGAUAAAAUCAACGUACUAUAGGCUACAUUUUGUCUGCGAUAUCAUCUCGGUGGAAGCGGACAUUAAAUGAAGUGAUUUCACACAAUUAAUUUAACAUUUAACAACGUGCUGAAAUGAUUUUGGAGCAGUGAUAUGUUUGACAAAUGUAAGCUAAUGGUCACAUAGAAUACAAGACCGCAGAAUCACAUUAUGAUUAAAGCAGAAACGGUUCGACUUGAACCAGCAGACGGAAGAUAUGGACGAACAACAAGAAGAAGUUAUGGAGGUCCCAACAACUGAACCUAUGGAAGUAGAAGAAUCGUUUACAGCCGAAACCCGAUACGAUGUGCCAGUUCCGGUUAUGGAGUCCUCCAUCUCAGACGAUGCCGACGUUAGUGUCUUCUGCGACGAAGAACCCGUAGUGGUGUAUCACUAUAAACCUCAGAAUGCCUCGUUCGGCAUUUCUGUCCAAACGAGGCAAAAACGUGUCAAAAUUUUUG
This is a long non-coding RNA of Patella vulgata (common limpet), 616 nucleotides long. RefSeq lists it as uncharacterized. The record is from RefSeq and is a predicted model, not a curated record. NCBI's taxonomy places the organism in Eukaryota, Metazoa, Mollusca, Gastropoda, Patellidae. The transcript has 3 exons.